GGCUAAGUGUGCUCUGAGCAUGCCUCAUCGGCUCCUGCAGCUACCUCGACUUUAGCAACAAGAGAAAAACCUCCCAGCCUUAUGCUGACAUUAGAUUUUGCUAUGCCUGAUGAGUAAUAAAGAGCCUUUCUCAGAAGAAGAAAGGGUUCUGGGCUGUUCCCAGCAUGGGGAAGUUUGAAUUCAGAGGGUUGAGGACCUGAUAACAUCACAGGGUAGAAGACACGCAGAGAGUUUCCAUGACCUUAUCCCCUGUGUGAUCUUGUCCAGUGUGACGCCUGCCAGGAGGAGGAUGCAGAAUAGGAUGGAAAUCAUAACACUGAGAUGGAAGAGUGAGAAAAAAAACCAGCAGCACAAAAUUGAAACUACAGGCAAGUAGAACGAGCAGCAGGAUUAAGACCUGUGCAGUACUUCAGUUGAUGACUUUCAUCUCAGCUUGAUCUGGUAUGCUGGAAAGCUUACCACAGCAGAACCCAAUUAAUAUAUGAAGUAUGUAAAAGAUAAUCUCACAUUUGAUUCCUGUUAGACUUAGAAGAUAGACACAACUGUU
This 547-nucleotide long non-coding RNA is filed under the name Zonotrichia albicollis (white-throated sparrow). RNAcentral describes it as "lncRNA (ENSZALG00000002232.1)". Lineage: Eukaryota; Metazoa; Chordata; Aves; Passeriformes; Passerellidae. The record is from RNAcentral.